GAUGAACGCUGGCGGCGUGCCUAAUACAUGCAAGUCGAGCGAACAGACGAGGAGCUUGCUCCUUCGACGUUAGCGGCGGACGGGUGAGUAACACGUAGGUAACCUACCUAUAAGACUGGGAUAACUUCGGGAAACCGGAGCUAAUACCGGAUAAUAUUUCGAACCGCAUGGUUCGAUAGUGAAAGAUGGCUUUGGUAUCACUUAUAGAUGGACCUGCGCCGUAUUAGCUAGUUGGUAAGGUAACGGCUUACCAAGGCAACGAUACGUAGCCGACCUGAGAGGGGGUACGGCCACACUGGAACUGAGACACGGUACAGACUCCUACGGGAGGCAGAAGUAGGGAAUCUUCCGCAAUGGGCGAAAGCCUGACGGAGCAACGCAGCGUGAGUGAUGAAGGUCUUCGGAUCGUAAAACGCUGUUAUUAGGGAAGAACAAACGUGUAAGUAACUGUGCACGUCUUGACGGUACCGAAUCAGAAAGCCACGGCUAACUACGU
This 496-nucleotide ribosomal RNA is filed under the name uncultured bacterium. Its description in RNAcentral is "partial 16S ribosomal RNA". It matches the Rfam family "Bacterial small subunit ribosomal RNA", at positions 28 to 506 of the family's 1533-position model. The record is from RNAcentral.